UAAGGUUUCUUGCUUUUCCUAAGAGCAAGUGGUGCGGAUGGAUUUAACUCCUGCCCUGUUUCUUGCUUCAGGAUAAAGAGCAAGUGGCGAGCCUGCAA
This 98-nucleotide non-coding RNA is filed under the name unclassified sequences. Its description in RNAcentral is "wcaG RNA". It matches the Rfam family "wcaG RNA". The record is from RNAcentral.